Molecule: ribosomal RNA, 497 nt
Filed under: uncultured bacterium
Lineage: Bacteria
Description: partial 16S ribosomal RNA
Rfam family: Bacterial small subunit ribosomal RNA
Source: RNAcentral
GAUGAACGCUGGCGGCGUGCCUAAUACAUGCAAGUCGAGCGAACAGAUGAGGAGCUUGCUCCUCUGACGUUAGCGGCGGACGGGUGAGUAACACGUGGAUAACCUACCUAUAAGACUGGGAUAACUUCGGGAAACCGGAGCUAAUACCGGAUAAUAUAUUGAACCGCAUGGUUCAAUAGUGAAAGACGGUUUUGCUGUCACUUAUAGAUGGAUCCGCGCCGCAUUAGCUAGUUGGUAAGGUAACGGCUUACCAAGGCAACGAUGCGUAGCCGACCUGAGAGGGUGGUCGACCACACUGGAACUGAGACACGGUCCAGACUCCUACGGGGAGAAGCAGUAGGGAAUCUUCCGCAAUGGGCGAGAGCCUGACGGAGCAACGCCGCGUGAGUGAUGAAGGUCUUCGGAUCGUAAAACUCUGUUAUUAGGGAAGAACAAAUGUGUAAGUAACUAUGCACGUCUUGACGGUACCUAAUCAGAAAGCCACGGCUAACUACGUG